GAGUUUGAUCAUGGCUCAGAUUGAACGCUAAGCGGGAUGCCUUACACAUGCAAGUCGAACGGCAGCACGGACUUCGGUCUGGUGGCGAGUGGCGAACGGGUGAGUAAUGUAUCGGAACGUGCCCAGUAGCGGGGGAUAACUACGCGAAAGCGUAGCUAAUACCGCAUACGCUCUACGGGGGAAAGCAGGGGAUCGUAAGACCUUGCACUAUUGGAGCGGCCGAUAUCGGAUUAGCUAGUUGGUGGGGUAACGGCUCACCAAGGCGACGAUCCGUAGCUGGUUUGAGAGGACGACCAGCCACACUGGGACUGAGACACGGCCCAGACUCCUACGGGAGGCAGCAGUGGGGAAUUUUGGACAAUGGGGGAAACCCUGAUCCAGCCAUCCCGCGUGUGCGAUGAAGGCCUUCGGGUUGUAAAGCACUUUUGGCAGGAAAGAAACGUCAUGGGUUAAUACCCCGUGAAACUGACGGUACCUGCAGAAUAAGCACCGGCUAACUACGUGCCAGCAGCCGCGGUAAUACGUAGGGUGCAAGCGUUAAUCGGAAUUACUGGGCGUAAAGCGUGCGCAGGCGGUUCGGAAAGAAAGAUGUGAAAUCCCAGAGCUUAACUUUGGAACUGCAUUUUUAACUACCGGGCUAGAGUGUGUCAGAGGGAGGUGGAAUUCCGCGUGUAGCAGUGAAAUGCGUAGAUAUGCGGAGGAACACCGAUGGCGAAGGCAGCCUCCUGGGAUAACACUGACGCUCAUGCACGAAAGCGUG
This 760-nucleotide ribosomal RNA is filed under the name uncultured Achromobacter sp. RNAcentral describes it as "bacterial SSU rRNA". It matches the Rfam family "Bacterial small subunit ribosomal RNA", at positions 9 to 763 of the family's 1533-position model. Lineage: Bacteria; Pseudomonadati; Pseudomonadota; Betaproteobacteria; Burkholderiales; Alcaligenaceae. The record is from RNAcentral.